CCUACGGGAGGCAGCAGUGGGGAAUCUUGGGCAAUGGGCGAAAGCCUGACGGAGCAACGCCGCGUGAGUGAAGAAGGCCUUCGGGUUGUAAAACUCUGUCUUCAGGGAAGAAAGAGAUGACGGUACCUGAGGAGGAAGCCACGGCUAACUACGUGCCAGCAGCCGCGGUAAUACGUAGGUGGCAAGCGUUGUCCGGAAUUACUGGGCGUAAAGAGCGCGUAGGCGGGGAUUUAAGUCAGGAGUGAAAACUGCGGGCUCAACCGGCAGCCUGCUCUUGAAACUGGAUUUCUUGAGGGUAUGAGAGGAAAGCGGAAUUCCCAGUGUAGCGGUGAAAUGCGUAGAUAUUGGGAGGAACACCAUGGGCGAAGGCGGCUUUCGGGGCUGCCCCUGACGCUGAGGCGCGAAAGCCGGGGGAGCAAACCGGAUUAGAUACCCGGGUAGG
This 442-nucleotide ribosomal RNA is filed under the name uncultured Peptococcaceae bacterium. RNAcentral describes it as "partial 16S ribosomal RNA". It matches the Rfam family "Bacterial small subunit ribosomal RNA", at positions 338 to 794 of the family's 1533-position model. Lineage: Bacteria; Bacillati; Bacillota; Clostridia; Eubacteriales; Peptococcaceae. The record is from RNAcentral.